Molecule: ribosomal RNA, 503 nt
Filed under: uncultured bacterium
Lineage: Bacteria
Description: bacterial SSU rRNA
Rfam family: Bacterial small subunit ribosomal RNA
Source: RNAcentral
GAUGAACGCUAGCGGCAGGCUUAACACAUGCAAGUCGAGGGGUAUUGGUUUUCGGACCAAGAGACCGGCGCACGGGUGCGUAACGCGUAUGCAAUCUACCUUUUGCAGAGGGAUAGCCCAGAGAAAUUUGGAUUAAUACCUCAUAGUAUAGUACUUUGGCAUCAAGGAACUAUUAAAGUCACAACGGCAAAAGAUGAGCAUGCGUCCCAUUAGCUAGUUGGUAAGGUAACGGCUUACCAAGGCUACGAUGGGUAGGGGUCCUGAGAGGGAGACUCCCCCACACUGGUACUGAGACACGGACCAGACUCCUACGGGAGGCAGCAGUGAGGAAUAUUGGUCAAUGGGGCNCAAGCCUGAACCAGCCAUGCCGCGUGCAGGAAGACGGUCUAUGGAUUGUAAACUGCUUUUANACAGGAACGAAACCCUCCCACGUGUGGGAGCUUGACGGUACUGUAGGAAUAAGGAUCGGCUAACUCCGUGCCAGCAGCCGCGGUAAAGUGACU